Carassius carassius (crucian carp) is the source of this 216-nucleotide long non-coding RNA. RefSeq lists it as uncharacterized. The transcript has 3 exons. Lineage: Eukaryota; Metazoa; Chordata; Actinopteri; Cypriniformes; Cyprinidae. The record is from RefSeq and is a predicted model, not a curated record.
UGUUCCUUCUUCUGCUGUCCUCCUGAUGAAUAACACGUGGAAAACGUGUCCUCAAAGGGUAGCCUCAUUGGGAUAGGCUACACUUUCCUACCUUUUUCUUCCCUGUCCAUCAUCUCUUCACUGGAAUGAUCCAAAACAAUCCCGCAGACUCGUCGAUUAACCAGGAUCACGCGUCGUAUUAUUGGAUGUACUGGUAAAACAGACAUAGCUAAAACU